RNAcentral lists this ribosomal RNA (692 nucleotides) under uncultured Herbaspirillum sp. RNAcentral describes it as "bacterial SSU rRNA". It matches the Rfam family "Bacterial small subunit ribosomal RNA", at positions 1 to 685 of the family's 1533-position model. Lineage: Bacteria; Pseudomonadati; Pseudomonadota; Betaproteobacteria; Burkholderiales; Oxalobacteraceae. The record is from RNAcentral.
GCAUCUAGAUUAGAGUUUGAUCCUGGCUCAGAUUGAACGCUGGCGGCAUGCCUUACACAUGCAAGUCGAACGGUAACGCGGGGGCAACCCUGGCGACGAGUGGCGAACGGGUGAGUAAUAUAUCGGAACGUGCCCUAGAGUGGGGGAUAACUAGUCGAAAGACUAGCUAAUACCGCAUACGAUCUACGGAUGAAAGUGGGGGAUCGCAAGACCUCAUGCUCAUGGAGCGGCCGAUAUCUGAUUAGCUAGUUGGUGGGGUAAAAGCUCACCAAGGCGACGAUCAGUAGCUGGUCUGAGAGGACGACCAGCCACACUGGGACUGAGACACGGCCCAGACUCCUACGGGAGGCAGCAGUGGGGAAUUUUGGACAAUGGGGCAACCCUGAUCCAGCAAUGCCGCGUGUGUGAAGAAGGCCUUCGGGUUGUAAAGCACUUUUGUCCGGAACGAAACGGUUUGGGCUAAUACCUCGAACUAAUGACGGUACCGGAAGAAUAAGCACCGGCUAACUACGUGCCAGCAGCCGCGGUAAUACGUAGGGUGCGAGCGUUAAUCGGAAUUACUGGGCGUAAAGCGUGCGCAGGCGGUUGUGCAAGACAGAUGUGAAAUCCCCGGGCUUAACCUGGGAACUGCAUUUGUGACUGCACGGCUAGAGUGUGUCAGAGGGGGGUAGAAUUCCACGUGUAGCAGUGAA